CACAGGGAGGUAGUGACAAUAAAUAACAAUACAGGGCUUUCAAAGUCUUGUAAUUGGAAUGAGUACAAUUUAAAUCACUUAACGAGGAACAAUUGGAGGGCAAGUCUGGUGCCAGCAGCCGCGGUAAUUCCAGCUCCAAUAGCGUAUAUUAAAGUUGUUGCAGUUAAAAAGCUCGUAGUUGAAUUUCGGGCUCGCCGGCGUGGUCCUCCUCACUGACAGCACUUUUUCUACGGGUCCCACCUUCUGGGGCUCCAGGCUGCUCUUAACUGUGUGGUCUGGCGCGGCAGAUACUUUACUUUGAAAAAAUUAAAAUGGUCCAAGCAAGCUUUCCCUUGGAUACCUUAACAUGGAAUAAUAAAAUAAGAAUUUGGUUCUAUUUUGGUGGUUUAAAGGAACCAAGGAAUGAAUAAUAAGGACCGGUGGGGGCAUUAAUAUUUCCAGGCU
This 444-nucleotide ribosomal RNA is filed under the name uncultured eukaryote. RNAcentral's name for it is "SSU rRNA". It matches the Rfam family "Eukaryotic small subunit ribosomal RNA", at positions 455 to 906 of the family's 1831-position model. The record is from RNAcentral.